RNAcentral lists this long non-coding RNA (1403 nucleotides) under Mytilus galloprovincialis (Mediterranean mussel). The record is from RNAcentral. Lineage: Eukaryota; Metazoa; Mollusca; Bivalvia; Mytilida; Mytilidae.
AUUUUCUGACUCCAAUCAACAGUCUUUAAAGAUUAAUUUCUUCAAAACUACUCAAUGGAUUUUUAAAAUCUUUAACUCAUUUUAAAGCUGAAAUAUAACUCUUUCUUAAUCUAUAUAUGAAUUUAUUUUUUGUUUGAUUAAUUUCAAAAUAUAGCUCAUGAAUUGCCCAAAAAGUGGCCUUCCAACUUGGAUGAAAAUGGCACAUUCAUGUCAAAUGGUAGUAAAAAUGUGUUUUCAUCCCUUUAAUCAACCAUAUACAAUCAACAAAACCGUGUCUUAGAUUUUUGAUAUAUUCCUCCAGUAAGAAGAUAUAUUGAUUUAACUGCUGGGUUCCAAACCUCAUUUCACCUUUCAUCUUUGAAGACCUAUAAAUUCAUUUAGAAACAAAUUAUCCAAAAACUGGGACACGGUAUUGUAGAAAAUUCACCCUUUAAUCAUAUAUAUCAGAGUCAGGCCAAAGGGGGUAAUCAUUAAGUUUCUAUUUUCAUUUUUUCCUUACAAUUCUCAGGUAAAUUGUUCUGAGAAAUGACCUAAAAACUGAAUUUCCCCCUUAGAACCCCUAUAAAGACAAUAUAAAUACAAAAAUUCCAUUGGGAACACCCCAGGAGUGUUCUGAUACCAUUACUAUAUCAAUAGAACCACACACUUUGUGUCUUUGAUGCUCUAAUGCUGUAAAUUUUGCAUUAUAUGUGAACUGUCCAACACUAACUUGGCAUUUGGCGGGAGUUUGACGUCACAGAUUUGACCAACAUCUGUGAUGUAGUGAUUAAAUAUAGACAAAGCUCCGCCUCUUUCCAGACAGUCUAAGAUAAGAGAAUAACAAGAUUGACCAGCUGCAUAUAAUCAAUGUUUAACAUCAUUAUUCUCUAUAUAUAAAGAAUAACUUUCAUUUGAAUUUAAAAAAAAAGAAAUAAACUGUCUGAAAUAAGCUAGAACAUUAAAAGUGUGCAUCAAAAAACAUGUUCAUAAAAAGAUCAAGAGUUAGACCACACUCGUCUUGAAAAUCCACUUUCCACAUGUUUUUUUUUUUUUAAUUUAAUGGAACUGACAAAUUACACAUAAACUGAAAAUUAGUUAAAAUGCAUAAAACUGUAUUUAAAUGAAUAAGACCAAAGAGAAGAUAUUUAUACAGAAAGUCAGAGGAUUUCAAAAAUACUUCCCCACUCUUUACCAUAUUAAUUUUAUUUCAUUUUUUGUAGAUUUUUUCCUUUUAGAUUUUUUCUUUCUCUUUGUUCACUUCCAUGUUAUAUAAAUUAUUUUUGUUGCAAAACAAUAAGAUAAGACUACAAUAUUUAUCUUUUGGUCAGGGAUUAACAGCUGGACACUGGUAUCAACAGAUGAUUGACAUAUUAGCCCCUCCCAAAUGCCUAUAUAUUUAGAUUAAUUACCAUGUGCUUUUAUUU